This 253-nucleotide ribosomal RNA is filed under the name uncultured bacterium. Its description in RNAcentral is "partial 16S ribosomal RNA". It matches the Rfam family "Bacterial small subunit ribosomal RNA", at positions 524 to 776 of the family's 1533-position model. The record is from RNAcentral.
GACAGAGGGUGCAAACGUUGCUCGGAAUCACUGGGCGUAAAGGGCGUGUAGGCGGGAAGGAAAGUCAGAUGUGAAAUCCCUGGGCUCAACCCAGGAACUGCAUUUGAAACUCCCUUUCUUGAGUGUCGGAGAGGAAAGCGGAAUUCCUGGUGUAGAGGUGAAAUUCGUAGAUAUCAGGAGGAAUACCGAUGGUGAAGGCAGCCCCCUGGGUCGAUACUGACGCUCAUGCACGAAAGCGUGGGGAGCAAACAGG